AGGAGAAUAAUUUAAUUGGUAAAAUGUCAAUCUUCAAAAUUGAUUUUAAAGGUUCAAAUCCUUUUUGUCCUG
Molecule: transfer RNA, 72 nt
Filed under: Coemansia sp. RSA 2618
Lineage: Eukaryota; Fungi; Kickxellomycota; Kickxellomycetes; Kickxellales; Kickxellaceae
Description: tRNA-Sec
Rfam family: tRNA
About the family: Transfer RNA (tRNA) molecules are approximately 80 nucleotides in length.
Source: RNAcentral